CAGCCGAAGUGCAAGCUCUGUCAAAGGAGAUAGAAGAUCUCAAGGUCUCGGUCGAUCUCUUGGAAAAAGAAAGAGACUUUUACUUCUCUAAGCUCCGGGACACAGAGAUACUCUGUCAGACUCCUGAACUCGAGGAUCUUCCGAUAGUGGUAGCAGUCAAGAAGAUAUUAUAUGCAACCGAUGCAAAUGAAUCUGCACUAGAAGAAGCUCAAGAGUGCCUAAACCAGUCUCUGGGACUUGAGGCUGAUGAGGAAGAAGGAAAGGAAGAGGAAGAAGAAGAAGAAGCAGCAGCAACAGAGACCCAAACUUAAAAGUUGUUGAUAAAUAAAAGUAGAGAACAACGAUGGUCCAUUGCCUUGUCUUAGAAGAUAAAUCACUUGGAGUCGGAGAGAGUGUUUUUCACAAUAUUACCGUAACCGGUUUUUUUGUUUAAAAGUGAGCCGAACCGAAUUUGCUCCGUCCUAAAUUUGAAAGAUUUAUCUGAUGGGUUUUAUUUGUAUCACAAUGUUUUUACUAAAUGUGUUCCGAUAAGUAAAAUUAAAAUUACAU
Molecule: non-coding RNA, 549 nt
Organism: Camelina sativa (false flax)
Lineage: Eukaryota; Viridiplantae; Streptophyta; Magnoliopsida; Brassicales; Brassicaceae
Source: RefSeq, a predicted model, not a curated record